Molecule: long non-coding RNA, 612 nt
Organism: Capra hircus (goat)
Lineage: Eukaryota; Metazoa; Chordata; Mammalia; Artiodactyla; Bovidae
Exons: 3
Source: RefSeq, a predicted model, not a curated record
UGAGAGUGAUGCUGAGACAGUAUGGAGUCUCGGGCUGGAGAGGGAUGGAGCACCAGAUCCUAUAACCUAAAUUCUGUUCAGCACCAGGCACUGUGCCUGCUCCCUGCCCAGGACUACCCAUUUUACAGCUGAGGCUCAGGGUGUCCUGCUCAAGGGAGAACAGCUAGGAAGCAGUGAAGCUGAAUUUACGCCCAGCUCUGUCCCACCCCAGAGCCCAGCUUCUCACUCCUUCCCUACUGCCUUCAUCACCAUCUGACAUGUCUCCACGUAUGGGCUCUUAGACACCUGGCCUCAAGAUCGUUGGGAAGCAGAGGUUUCCUGCCUUCUGCCUGGAGUGUGAAGUCAGCGCUGGAACCUCAUCCCUCAUGGACACUCCCAGGCUGUGAGGCUGCACAUCUGGGAGGCUGGAAGAAAGAGGCCCACCACCAGUCGGGGUCACCUAACUGAGAGCAGAAGAGAUGCUGCCAACAUAUUGGCAUUUUAUCUAUCAGCUGAAGAACCCCAGCUCCGUGACCUGCAGAGAAUCCACAUUCUGGACUUUGCUGAUUGAAUAUUGAUGGCACCGUUCACCAUGUAUAUUUGUUCUUUGCCCUUCCUUCAAAUCGGUGGCUG